UACGUAGGGUGCAAGCGUUAAUCGGAAUUACUGGGCGUAAAGCGUGCGCAGGCGGUCGUGCAAGACAGAUGUGAAAUCCCCGGGCUCAACCUGGGAACUGCAUUUGAGACUGCACGGCUGGAGUGCGGCAGAGGGGGAUGGAAUUCCGCGUGUAGCAGUGAAAUGCGUAGAUAUCGGGAGGAACACCAGUGGCGAAGGCGGCUCUCUGGGGUAUUUCUGACGCUGAGGCACGAAAGCCAGGGGAGCGAACGGG
RNAcentral lists this ribosomal RNA (253 nucleotides) under uncultured bacterium. Its description in RNAcentral is "partial 16S ribosomal RNA". It matches the Rfam family "Bacterial small subunit ribosomal RNA", at positions 524 to 776 of the family's 1533-position model. The record is from RNAcentral.